AAAUGUUUCUAUCUAUUUUUGCCUAUGUAUAUAAAGGAUUCAUCCAUUCAGCGAUUCUCAUGCAUUAUCAAGACGUGCUGCUGACUGCUGAGUAAGAUCCGGGCUUUAACAUAAAUUAUGAUUUAUCGCUUUCUUGUGGUGUCUGCCCUGAUCUUCUGUACGGCCAGCAUGUCCCUCGUGGGUCCGUUCAAUGCGCCCUACAACUGGGCGCCCACAAAGGAACACUUUCGUAACAUAGAAGAUCUGUACAGGUACAUUCAGCGCUUAAAGACGUACAAGUUCUUCGCUCGCCACCGAUUCUCAAGACCCAGGUUUGCUUGAGAUCUAAGCUCUGUACAGACAAGUAAUGCAUUUGGACAGAAGGUUUCGUUUCCAUGACAGUUACAUGUUUGUUCUGGUGAAAUUUUGUCAAUUAAAUGUUUCCUACUAC
Long non-coding RNA from Magallana angulata, 430 nucleotides. RefSeq lists it as uncharacterized. Lineage: Eukaryota; Metazoa; Mollusca; Bivalvia; Ostreida; Ostreidae. The record is from RefSeq and is a predicted model, not a curated record. The transcript is spliced from 3 exons.